AACAUAGAAGCAUUACAGAAAUUUCCCCGGAGUCUGCUUGGUGAUUCUGUGCCUCACCCUUCCAAUCUGAACUUCAAACGGACAAACAAGUGGUGCCCGAACAUGGGGCUCGCGUAUAUGGGGUAAAUACCGAAGAAUCGGGAAGACAGUAGAAAAUCUGGGAGAAUGAUCCAAUGGCACAGUACAAGCAUAGCACGCACAAUACCCAGCGCCAAGCCCCAGAAAGUGGAUUGUCCAUCUCCCUGUUAAGAAGAAAGUCAUCACUGCCAUGCAGAAAACAGUGAAGCAUAGGAUUCAUCCAGACCAUUUUCACUGAGACCAUUUGUGUGCUGGAUCUCCGGAAAGCCUCAAAGCUUUUCCAGGCAAUUCCUGGGCAUCUCAAGUUUUUGCCUGAAUUGCAAAAGCUUUCAAGGAAUCAAAACUUGGCCAAGGAAGUCGGGAAGAGAAGUAGAGCAAAGGAAAUGGGGAGAGAAAAAUUCCUGCGUAUCCCGCUUCCCCUCCCCCAACCCUUUUUUUCUGAAAUCUUGACAUCCAGGGAGUGGAAAACUGGGUUAAUUAGACCAGAGUCUCGCCCCCGGUGGCGAUUUUCAGGUGUCUGAGAGCUCCGCCGCCUUGCGAGAGCCAAGGGAGGAAAAGGGAGGGGCCGGGCCGCGCACAAUGGCGCAAUUAUUUGUCUAAAGUUGCAUCCUUGGCGGAGCUCCUUGCAUAAUUCAAGAGUAAUUAGGUGUUCCCUUUUCAAGGCAGACUUGGAGUGGGGAGGGGGUGUUUAUUUACUUUGCGGCUUUGCUUAGAGAAGAGCUCCCGGAAGAGCUGAAAAAUGAUUGCUGGCAGAUUAGCACUUGCUGCAAGGAGAGUUAAAAUAAGUUUAUUCUCUUGCAAAUCGAAGCCUCUCCAACUUUUCUUUCUCUUACGCGUCAUCUGCAAUCUAGAGUCACAGACCCGCGUGUAAGCAGCGUUAGCUCAAACAAACAAACAAACUCGCCUGGGGCUCUGACCCCAGGCGUAAUAGUUCAAAAGUUGGCUCUCUCUUGUAGUUCCCUACUUCCGUAGUCACCUUCACUGGUGGCCAGGACUUCUGGUCUGAGUCGCACUCUCUGCUCAGAUACCUUUGGCUACGUCUUGGAAUCCUCACCGGGAUAAAGCGUGGACCUGGAAAACUGUCACGCUGCGCAAAAGUUCGGAUGCUCGACCAAACUCAGAACGGAACAAACCGGCUUCCAGUCAAAGAGA
This 1230-nucleotide long non-coding RNA is filed under the name Fukomys damarensis (Damara mole-rat). RNAcentral's name for it is "lncRNA (ENSFDAG00000023061.1)". The record is from RNAcentral. Lineage: Eukaryota; Metazoa; Chordata; Mammalia; Rodentia; Bathyergidae.